This 481-nucleotide ribosomal RNA is filed under the name uncultured Clostridium sp. Its description in RNAcentral is "partial 16S ribosomal RNA". Lineage: Bacteria; Bacillati; Bacillota; Clostridia; Eubacteriales; Clostridiaceae. The record is from RNAcentral.
CACGUAGUUAGCCGUGGCUUCCUCCUCAGGUACCGUCAUUAUCGUCCCUGAAGACAGAGCUUUACAAUCCGAAGACCGUCAUCACUCACGCGGCGUUGCUGCAUCAGGGUUUCCCCCAUUGUGCAAUAUUCCCCACUGCUGCCUCCCGUAGGAGUCUGAGCCGUGUCUCAGUCCCAAUGUGGCCGAUCACCCUCUCAGGUCGGCUACGCAUCGUCGCCUUGGUGAGCCGUUACCUCACCAACUAGCUAAUGCGACGCGGGUCCAUCUCAUAGCGGAUUACUCCUUUAAUUGCUAUGCCAUGCGGCACUACAAUCUUAUGCGGUAUUAAUCUUCCUUUCGAAAGGCUAUUCCCCGUCUAUGAGGCAGGUUACCCACGUGUUACUCACCCGUCCGCCGCUAAUCCAUUCCCGAAGGAACUUCAUCGCUCGACUUGCAUGUGUUAAGCACGCCGCCAGCGUGUCCUGUGCGACGAGUCAACUAC